AGAGUUUGAUCCUGGCUCAGGACGAACGCUGGCGGCGCGCCUAACACAUGCAAGUCGAACGAGCGAGAGAGAGCUUGCUUUCUCAAGCGAGUGGCGAACGGGUGAGUAACGCGUGAGGAACCUGCCUCAAAGAGGGGGACAACAGUUGGAAACGACUGCUAAUACCGCAUAAGCCCACAGCUCGGCAUCGAGCAGAGGGAAAAGGAGCAAUCCGCUUUGAGAUGGCCUCGCGUCCGAUUAGCUAGUUGGUGAGGUAAUGGCCCACCAAGGCGACGAUCGGUAGCCGGACUGAGAGGUUGAACGGCCACAUUGGGACUGAGACACGGCCCAGACUCCUACGGGAGGCAGCAGUGGGGAAUAUUGCACAAUGGGGGAAACCCUGAUGCAGCGACGCCGCGUGGAGGAAGAAGGUCUUCGGAUUGUAAACUCCUGUUGUUGAGGAAGAUAAUGACGGUACUCAACAAGGAAGUGACGGCUAACUACGUGCCAGCAGCCGCGGUAAAACGUAGGUCACAAGCGUUGUCCGGAAUUACUGGGUGUAAAGGGAGCGCAGGCGGGAAGACAAGUUGGAAGUGAAAUCUAUGGGCUCAACCCAUAAACUGCUUUCAAAACUGUUUUUCUUGAGUAGUGCAGAGGUAGGCGGAAUUCCCGGUGUAGCGGUGGAAUGCGUAGAUAUCGGGAGGAACACCACUGGCGAAGGCGGCCUACUGGGCACCAACUGACGCUGAGGCUCGAAAGUGUGGGUAGCAAACAGGAUUAGAUACCCUGGUAGUCCACACCGUAAACGAUGAUUACUAGGUGUUGGAGGAUUGACCCCUUCAGUGCCGCAGUUAACACAAUAAGUAAUCCACCUGGGGAGUACGACCGCAAGGUUGAAACUCAAAGGAAUUGACGGGGGCCCGCACAAGCAGUGGAGUAUGUGGCUUAAUUCGACGCAACGCGAAGAACCUUACCAAGUCUUGACAUCCCUUGACGAACAUAGAAAUAUGUUUUCUCUUCGGAGCAAGGAGACUGGUGGUGCAUGGUUGUCGUCAGCUCGUGUCGUGAGAUGUUGGGUUAAGUCCCGCAACGAGCGCAACCCUUACUGUCAGUUACUACGCAAGAGGACUCUGGCAGGACUGCCGUUGACAAAACGGAGGAAGGUGGGGAUGACGUCAAAUCAUCAUGCCCUUUAUGACUUGGGCUACACACGUACUACAAUGGCGUUAAACAAAGAGAAGCAAGACCGCGAGGUGGAGCAAAACUCAGAAACAACGUCCCAGUUCGGACUGCAGGCUGCAACUCGCCUGCACGAAGUCGGAAUUGCUAGUAAUCGUGGAUCAGCAUGCCACGGUGAAUACGUUCNCCGGGCCCUUGUACACACCGCCCGUC
This 1371-nucleotide ribosomal RNA is filed under the name uncultured bacterium. RNAcentral's name for it is "bacterial SSU rRNA". It matches the Rfam family "Bacterial small subunit ribosomal RNA". The record is from RNAcentral.